RNAcentral lists this ribosomal RNA (253 nucleotides) under uncultured bacterium. RNAcentral's name for it is "partial 16S ribosomal RNA". It matches the Rfam family "Bacterial small subunit ribosomal RNA", at positions 524 to 776 of the family's 1533-position model. The record is from RNAcentral.
GACAGAGGGUGCAAGCGUUGUUCGGAAUCAUUGGGCGUAAAGCGCGCGUAGGCGGCUAUGUAAGUCGGACGUGAAAGCCCAGGGCUCAACCCUGGAAGUGCAUCCGAAACUGCAUAGCUUGAGUGCCGGAGAGGGUGGUGGAAUUCCUGGUGUAGAGGUGAAAUUCGUAGAUAUCAGGAGGAACACCCGUGGCGAAGGCGACCACCUGGACGGUAACUGACGCUGAGGCGCGAAAGCGUGGGUAGCAAACAGG